RNAcentral lists this ribosomal RNA (483 nucleotides) under uncultured bacterium. Its description in RNAcentral is "partial 16S ribosomal RNA". It matches the Rfam family "Bacterial small subunit ribosomal RNA", at positions 29 to 507 of the family's 1533-position model. The record is from RNAcentral.
UUGAACGCUGGCGGCAUGCUUUACACAUGCAAGUCGAACGGCAGCGCGGGCUUCGGCCUGGCGGCGAGUGGCGAACGGGUGAGUAAUACAUCGGAACGUGCCCAGUAGUGGGGGAUAGCUCGGCGAAAGCCGGAUUAAUACCGCAUACGACCUGAGGGUGAAAGCGGGGGAUCUUCGGACCUCGCGCUAUUGGAGCGGCCGAUGGCAGAUUAGCUAGUUGGUGGGGUAAAGGCCUACGAAGGCGACGAUCUGUAGCUGGUCUGAGAGGACGACCAGCCACACUGGGACUGAGACACGGCCCAGACUCCUACGGGAGGCAGCAGUGGGGAAUUUUGGACAAUGGGCGAAAGCCUGAUCCAGCAAUGCCGCGUGUGUGAUGAAGGCCUUCGGGUUGUAAAGCACUUUUGGCGGGAACGAAAAGGACUGUGCCAAUACCACGGUUCGAUGACGGUACCCGCAGAAUAAGCACCGGCUAACUACGUG